This 911-nucleotide ribosomal RNA is filed under the name Halomonas sp. RNAcentral describes it as "bacterial SSU rRNA". It matches the Rfam family "Bacterial small subunit ribosomal RNA", at positions 556 to 1468 of the family's 1533-position model. The record is from RNAcentral. Lineage: Bacteria; Pseudomonadati; Pseudomonadota; Gammaproteobacteria; Oceanospirillales; Halomonadaceae.
GGGCGUAAGCGCGCGUAGGUGGCUUGAUAAGCCGGUUGUGAAAGCCCCGGGCUCAACCUGGGAACGGCAUCCGGAACUGUCAGGCUAGAGUGCAGGAGAGGAAGGUAGAAUUCCCGGUGUAGCGGUGAAAUGCGUAGAGAUCGGGAGGAAUACCAGUGGCGAAGGCGGCCUUCUGGACUGACACUGACACUGAGGUGCGAAAGCGUGGGUAGCAAACAGGAUUAGAUACCCUGGUAGUCCACGCCGUAAACGAUGUCGACCAGCCGUUGGGUGCCUAGAGCACUUUGUGGCGAAGUUAACGCGAUAAGUCGACCGCCUGGGGAGUACGGCCGCAAGGUUAAAACUCAAAUGAAUUGACGGGGGCCCGCACAAGCGGUGGAGCAUGUGGUUUAAUUCGAUGCAACGCGAAGAACCUUACCUACCCUUGACAUCUACAGAAGCCGGAAGAGAUUCUGGUGUGCCUUCGGGAACUGUAAGACAGGUGCUGCAUGGCUGUCGUCAGCUCGUGUUGUGAAAUGUUGGGUUAAGUCCCGUAACGAGCGCAACCCUUGUCCUUAUUUGCCAGCGAGUAAUGUCGGGAACUCUAAGGAGACUGCCGGUGACAAACCGGAGGAAGGUGGGGACGACGUCAAGUCAUCAUGGCCCUUACGGGUAGGGCUACACACGUGCUACAAUGGCCGGUACAAAGGGCUGCGAGCUCGCGAGAGUCAGCGAAUCCCUUAAAGCCGGUCUCAGUCCGGAUCGGAGUCUGCAACUCGACUCCGUGAAGUCGGAAUCGCUAGUAAUCGUGAAUCAGAAUGUCACGGUGAAUACGUUCCCGGGCCUUGUACACACCGCCCGUCACACCAUGGGAGUGGACUGCACCAGAAGUGGUUAGCCUAACGCAAGAGGGCGAUCACCACGGGUGUGGU